RNAcentral lists this ribosomal RNA (826 nucleotides) under uncultured crenarchaeote. Its description in RNAcentral is "bacterial SSU rRNA". It matches the Rfam family "Archaeal small subunit ribosomal RNA", at positions 52 to 859 of the family's 1478-position model. Lineage: Archaea; Thermoproteati; Thermoproteota. The record is from RNAcentral.
UGCUAGUCGAGUGGCUCAGGCAAAACGAGUCACGGCACACAGCUCAGUAACACGUGGCUAAUCUGCCCUUAGGACGAGAACAACCCCGGGAAACUGGGGCUAAUUCUUGAUAGGUGAAGAACUCUGGAAUGAGUCUUUGCUUAAAUGGAUUCACGUUAUCCUCGUGAGUUUGCCUAAGGAUGAGGCCGCGACCGAUCAGGUUGUUGGCGAGGUAAUGGCUCACCAAGCCUUUUACCGGUGCGGGCCGUGGGAGCGGGAGCCCGGAGAUGGGUACUGAGACAAGGACCCAGGCCCUACGGGGCGCAGCAGUCGCGAAACCUUUGCAAUACACGAAAGUGUGACAGGGCUAUCCCGAGUGCCAUCCGCUGAGGAAGGCUUUUACCCAGUCUAGAACGCUGGGGGAAUAAGGAGAGGGCAAGUCUGGUGUCAGCCGCCGCGGUAAUACCAGCUCUCCGAGUGGUGUGGAUGUUUAUUGGGCCUAAAGCAUCCGUAGCUGGCUAGGUAAGUCCUUUGUUAAAUCCACCGAAUUAAUCGUUGGAUCGCGGGGGAUACUGCUUGGCUAGGGGACGAGAGAGGCAGACGGUAUUUUCGGGGUAGGGGUGAAAUCCUAUAAUCCCGGGAAGACCACCAGUGGCGAAGGCUGUCUGCUAGAACGCGCCCGACGGUGAGGGAUGAAAGCUGGGGGAGCGAACCGGAUUAGAUACCCGGGUAGUCCCAGCUGUAAACGAUGCAGACUAGGUGUUUGGACGGCCACGUGCCGUUCUAGUGCCGCAGGAAGCUGUUAAGUCUGCCGCCUGGGGAGUACGAUCGCAAGAUUGAAACUUAA